This 1638-nucleotide unclassified non-coding RNA is filed under the name Diabrotica virgifera virgifera (western corn rootworm). Its description in RNAcentral is "uncharacterized LOC126880174". Lineage: Eukaryota; Metazoa; Arthropoda; Insecta; Coleoptera; Chrysomelidae. The record is from RNAcentral.
CGGCGCGCGGGCACGCUGUGUCCCAGGCAACCAAGUGACGUCAACAACGUCGAGGAAACGUCAGUAUUUGGUGGAAUAUAUACACGUGGUUGAACAUUACGUCAUAUCGACGUCUUUUGUUGGUGAUUUUAAAUACGUAAGAUUAAUGACGUUAAAAUACGUUUAAAAGACGUUUUUAUUUCAGCCAGCCUAAGUCUGACGUCACGAAAUUGGGAGGAGCUUGGAGCUUAAAAGUUACAAAACUAAGGUUAUGUUUGUUGUUUGUUUGUAUCGUUGUCGUUCGUUUGUCCUAGUCACGUCUUAGUAUUUUGCCUAUUUUGGAUUCAUUUGGAUUUUGUUGGCUGUUUUGCGUGUAUUUUUUAAAACUUUUGUUUGUCAUUUGUAAAUUUUAUAAAUUUACCACAAUGCAAAGUGAUUACCUAUUUAAGGAAAUUAUUAUUGGAAACUCCGCAGAUGUUUUAGAAAGAUAUUCAUUGAAGCUGAAAAUAAUUGGAGAUUUAGAUCCAUAUACAAUUCAGUCAUCAGAAUUGGAUUUUACAGUGCAUUCCAUCAAUUACUGUUAUAAUGCUAUUAUAGAUAGACUGGUAGAGUCUCACAGUUACUACUUUAAGCAGCAGAUGAAAGCAUACAAAAGCCUUCAGGCACAUAAAAGCCUUCACAACUGGAUUUGUUUUGAAACAUUUGAUGUUUUGAUGAUUUUUAUUUUAUUGUUGGAAAGGUGAAGAAUUCCCAAAAAGCUAAUGCUAAACCACUAGAUGCUUGGGUGAUAGCCAGUUCCAAUGGCAUAGCAAAUGCACAUUGUAUGUGUAUUGCCGGUAAUAGUGAAGUUUGCAGCCAUAUUGCAGCAAUCUUAUUUGCAGCUGAGUAUGCCCACAGCAAGACAGAAGAAGAAGAACCCAAUGCAUGUACAUAUGUUACAGCUAUGUACAUUCUCUGGUGAAAAACUAACGAGUUUUCAAACUGUUCGGUCAGAGUGCUUGUUGCGCUCUCUAAACGAACUGAAAUAUAAGACGGCUUUGGCUUCAUGUUGCAGCGAUAUGAAAAUGGUGUCUGUGGAUCUUUUUGUAUGCAACUAUUUGUAAUAAUUAUUUGAAAUCAUUUUGAGGAUUAUAAGAGUAUGGAAAUAUAAAUGUGAGAACACAGACUAUUAUAGUUUUGUCCUAUUUUUUAUCAUUCAAUCGUCUUCUUUAAAAUUUAUAAAUAUAAAGCAGAUAGUUUUCAUUGAAAUUCAAUAUAUUGGGUCUUAUUUGUAUGUAUUCAUUUUUGACUAAAGGUACGAUUCCGAUAACGACUGCAGACAGCAACUGCAAACAUCAGUUGCAGCUCUCGGCGUUAUGGACGUUACUACUUUGCACUAUUUAUCUGUAUGAGACUGAUUCCGACAUCUGACUGCAACUGCUGUCCGGCAGAAUGUCAGUUGCUAAUAAUUAUGCAAAUUAUUAGUGCAAAAUAAUGACGUCUGUCAUUGUGACAACUGUAACUGCCAUCUGCAGUCGUUGUCAGAAUCGUACCUUUAAAAUUUGUUGUAUAAUUAUAAUAAUUAUAUAUAUAUUAUAUAACUUAAAUGGUUUAAACUUAAGUUUGUUAUUACAUUGUGACUUAAAUGUUUAAUUUGUUAAUAAAUGAUUUAUUAGUUUA